AUUUUAUCUUUGAUGAAGCUGAUAUAGUAAUUUGUUUCCGAUAUAAUGAAUAGGCCUAAACCACAUCACUUCAUUCGGCGAAAUCGAAAAAUCUGAUGCACCAAAGUCAAGAUAGUUAAUCGAAUGAUUUUUUUAUGUAUAAAAAAGAACGAUCAAACCAUUAUCUCUUGUGGCACCGUUAAAGUCCACAUUUCCUCUAAAGUCCACAACACCGCUCAAGUCCACAACAAAUUAUUGAAGUUUAUUUCUAAUAACAGAUAGAAAAAAAUAGAAAGCAUAAAAAAGGGCC
Molecule: long non-coding RNA, 289 nt
Filed under: Mytilus galloprovincialis (Mediterranean mussel)
Lineage: Eukaryota; Metazoa; Mollusca; Bivalvia; Mytilida; Mytilidae
Source: RNAcentral